CGGAGGGAGUAUUAUCCACCCUAUCAGCCCCCGCCAUAGCUGGAAGUCCUAUGUAUUUAUAUGAAAAUCCCUCAGUAUCGAUAUGCAGGACUUGGGAAAUCUCCGCUCCAGAAUUGUCAUUAGUAUUUGGGCUAAGAAAUAUACUUGGCUUUGCCAAACUAACCAUCUGUACUGAACUUUGACAAUAGGUGUCUCGUACAUGUUGCAAGAAGUUGCAUUUAACACAUAGCUCUCAUGAGAGUUAGAGAAUCAUCAGUAAAUAAAACGUGUGAUGUUUACAGAUGCACUUCUACACACUCUAAUCU
Molecule: long non-coding RNA, 305 nt
Filed under: Hordeum vulgare
Lineage: Eukaryota; Viridiplantae; Streptophyta; Magnoliopsida; Poales; Poaceae
Description: long non-coding RNA (HVUL_LNC005091)
Source: RNAcentral